AUGUGGCCGUGGCUUCUGCUCGGAGGACGUUCGCCUUCUUCUGGUGACAUUUUAUUUUCACGUGUGCUGAGCCGGGCCCUGCGCGGGCCCUCUACCUGCGUGUGCUUUGACAGGCCUGAGCGCUCUCUGCCAGCGCCGCUCGCCCUUGACAGGAAGCGAAGGUGUCUUUUUGUUAAGCUUGAGACUACAUUUUGUCCCAGCCGCAGCUCAGCAGUCCUGCCCGGCCUGCUGCACAAAGCGCACGCAGCCUGCCAGGGCUGCUGGGGCUCGUUUGGCAGCGUUUUCGGUACGAGCAGCAGGGCCACGUCCUCCGCCAGAGGCAGACGGAACGUCUGCCCGGGUCUGAAGCCGCUGCAGAGGCUGUCCACUGCCACUGGGCAGACAGGACGGGGAUGGGAUGGGGACAGGGCCCACGCCAGCGGGACGGGUACCGCCGGUUACGCUGCCCCAGCAAUGCGGCGGGGGGGAAGGAGGAAGGACAGAGGCGCACACGCCUCCCCAGACGGGGACACAGGCCCUAAUGAAAGGGUCAGCAGCCGCCGCACAGCCCCAGCAGCACGUAACCCUGCCCGCCGCCUGCCCAGGAGCAUUUGGGCCCUGCUCCCAUCCCAAGCAUUCACCACACGGAGGCCAGGCCUGCGUCGGUCCCGGCUGGAUGCUGCGGCCUGGCCCUCACCAGUUCACGGGAUUUCGCCAGCCGCGGCUCAUUUCGCCCUUCUUGUGUCUCCGUGUGCCUGGCUGCAGAGCGAGCUGCCGGCCCACCCCGCACCCAGAGCCUACCCGCUCAGCACCUCAGUGCCGCCGCCACCACCCCCUCGCCACAGCUUAAGUCCAAGGCCGGUGAAAUUUUCUUCAAGCUUUUUAAGGCUCGAAAUCCCUAUUUUGCAAAGGAAAGCACCCCCCUUAUGCACACAGACCCAGAGCAACGCCUCCCCAGCCUCUCCUCGCCCUCUCCACAGCAUGCCCUGUAUUUGGACACAGGCACUGAGAAUCACUAAGGGCAAAGAGAGGGGACUGUCACAGGUGGGAACUGAAAAAGACAACAGUUUUAUUUCAUGGAACACCCAUUUUCUACUUGUCCAACUACUAAUGCGGUGGGAAGCUUGCUUUCUCUACGUCCCCAUUCUCUUGCUUCCCUUGGGUCACUGCACUGUAUUCACUAGAUUAUUUAUGAAGACAUGUUACUGUGAACACAUAAAAACAUUUCAACAAGGAUAA
RNAcentral lists this long non-coding RNA (1218 nucleotides) under Anser cygnoides (Swan goose). Its description in RNAcentral is "lncRNA (ENSACDG00005002388.1)". Lineage: Eukaryota; Metazoa; Chordata; Aves; Anseriformes; Anatidae. The record is from RNAcentral.